AUUAGCUUGUUUCUUUAUAUAAGGAGUAAAAUUUCACGUACAAUACUGGCAGUGCGAAUUGGCUCUGUUCUCUACAUUUCUUUUACCUCCUACCAUGUUAAGACAGAGCUGCUCUUCACGGAGCAUCGCAGUCUUAGAAAUACAUCUUCAAGAUCACCAGUAACUCUACAGACUCUUGAUGACUGGUUUUAUUAUAGAUCUGGAUCAUAAACGUGUCUGGAGAGCUGUGUUCCUUAUUCCUCUAAAGAUUUAUAAUAUUCCUAUUCCUACAACUUGAAUUUCAAGUGAAGAGAAGAUUUACUAGCAUUCUCCAAAUAAAGGAAAUCAGGACAGAAGACAACAGCACAUAGUCUGAUUCUCAGCAAAACAUAAGCCAUGUCACAGCAUAGCAGGGGAAGGCUUUGGUGGACUCAAAUGCAAGACCCCCUGCUGCCUAAGCGAACCUAUUACCUUGAAGGGGAAUUAAGGAUGGAUAACAGAAAACAAUGCAGCAUGGUCUCUUCUGCUGGAUUAACAAGACUGGAUUAACAAGAAAAAUAGAUGCCUUUGCUUUAGAGAAAGUCAGUUUCU
This 570-nucleotide long non-coding RNA is filed under the name Phasianus colchicus (ring-necked pheasant). Its description in RNAcentral is "lncRNA (ENSPCLG00000010844.1)". Lineage: Eukaryota; Metazoa; Chordata; Aves; Galliformes; Phasianidae. The record is from RNAcentral.